This 643-nucleotide long non-coding RNA is filed under the name Vigna radiata. RNAcentral's name for it is "long non-coding RNA (VRAD_LNC005119)". The record is from RNAcentral. Lineage: Eukaryota; Viridiplantae; Streptophyta; Magnoliopsida; Fabales; Fabaceae.
GGCAGGAUCGUCUCCUUUCUUCAACUCUUUCCCUUUUCUCUGCCCUAUCUCUCGAAGGGUUUGGUUUUCUCUUCCUCACAUGCUCGAGGGCUUCCUUCAUAUUGCCAAAAUGAAUCACAAAUCUCAGACCCCCAAGCAGCUACAGCAAAACGACGUCGUCCUACUAAUUGGAACCCAAGGUCCAGUUGCAAGUGUAGCUGCAGCGUUUGCAUUCAGCCCAAUUAUUUAUUUUAAUCUACUGCAGUGGCCCAAUUUCAACUAAUCUUUCAAGCAGCGUCAGUGGUAGAAAAGCCAAGUGUAGCAGCGCCUAUCUCCAUUAGUGGCAGCAACAGUGUCGGCCCAAUUGUUUCCCUUUAAUUUGUCCAGCAACACCCCAUUUACUUGUGUCAUACAGCUUCUUCAGAUUCAACAUUGAGGUAUCAACAGUUUGCCCAAUUCACCAACCCAGCUUUCUAAGCAGUGUCCCAAGGAUCAAAGCCCAAUCAAUCCAAUCAGCAUUGCAAUGGGCAAUCUGCACCAAAGAAGAAAAAAAAUCAAAAUUAAAGAAAGAAAAGAAAAAAAUCAAAUGAAAGAAAAGAAUUUUUAUAAAAAUAUUUUCUAAAAAAAAAUAAAUUUUCUAAUUAUUUACAAAUGUACUAAAAAU